This is a long non-coding RNA of Portunus trituberculatus (swimming crab), 685 nucleotides long. RefSeq lists it as uncharacterized. The transcript has 4 exons. NCBI's taxonomy places the organism in Eukaryota, Metazoa, Arthropoda, Malacostraca, Decapoda, Portunidae. The record is from RefSeq and is a predicted model, not a curated record.
GCUGGUGAUCCUACUGUGAGACACUGCAUCCCCUGGCUGAUGGAGUCCUGGACCAGCCGCUGCCGUUCCGACGACCAGUGGCUUUCCCACACGCAUUGGCACAGGCAGGAGUGUCCGUGUCGCCUAGUGUACUUGUUGGCAGUACAGUAGUGUGUUUCCCGCAAUGGUGACAAAAAAGGGAAGGAGUGGCCGAAUUAAGAUGGCUACUUGUCUCGCCGCGGCAGGUGCACCAUAGUGAGGGGAAGGCCAGAAGGAACAUAACAUGGCACUGUGGGAAAGCCCUCGCCAGGUGUCCACAACACGACAGCACUUGGCAUUCUCUUCCACCGGGUAUAUGAGAAGGAACGCCCCUACCAGUGCCACACAUCAACAUGGAGCGACGCACCCUGCUGAUUGUCCUGCUAGUGUGCAGCUUCCUGCUGGUAGCUGUCACCGCCGAGGCCUCGCCUUGGAGAGGUAGCCGCUUUGGCAGACCACCAAAGGGCGGCAGACCGCCGUUUGGUGGAUCAGCUUGUAGGUGCAUCAGGGCGCCGUGUCCUUGUUCCUACUUCGGCUAACCCGGCCAGCGAACUCUGCUUCUGACAAUGCUCAUGGAUGGAAAGCGCUGUCUUGCUUACUUCAAUGAACUGAUAAAUUAACGGAGAAUUUUGCUUUGCAUUUAGUGGUAAAUAAAAUCACAGCAAUC